CCUACGGGUGGCAGCAGUGGGGAAUAUUGCACAAUGGGGGCAAGCCUGAUGCAGCAACGCCGCGUGGGUGAAGGAGCGUCUCGGCGCGUAAAGCCCUGUCAGCGGGGAAGAAGAAAGACGGUACCCGAACAAGAAGCGCCGGCUAACUACGAGCCAGCAGCCGCGGUAAUACGUAGGGGGCGAGCGUGAUCCGGAAUUACUGGGUGUAAGGGGAGAGGAGACGGCGAGGUAAGCCUGAAGUGGAAGCCCGCGGCCCAACCGCGGAACUGCCUUGGGAACUGUUUUGCUGGAGUAUGGGAGGGGUAAGCGGAAUUCCUGGUGUAGCAGUGAAAUGCGUAGAUAUGAGGAGGAACACCGGUGGCGAAGGCGGCUUACUGGAACAUAACUGACGUUGAGGCUCGAAAGCGUGGGGAGCGAACAGGAUUAGAUACCCCUGUAGUC
This 441-nucleotide ribosomal RNA is filed under the name uncultured bacterium. Its description in RNAcentral is "partial 16S ribosomal RNA". It matches the Rfam family "Bacterial small subunit ribosomal RNA", at positions 338 to 795 of the family's 1533-position model. The record is from RNAcentral.